UGCAUUGGAUUGAGAACAACGUACAACUCUUAUCGAUAAGCCAUUGGAGGGCAAGUCUGGUGCCAGCAGCCGCGGUAAUUCCAGCUCCAAUAGCGUAUAUUAACGUUGUUGCAGUUAAAAAGCUCGUAGUUGAAGUGAGGGAGUGUGUGUUCAUGAGAGCUAGUCUCGAGUGUUCACAACCUCCCCCCUCCAAUCGGUGUAGUGGGGUAUUCAGUUAUUUCACUACUCCUUUGGUCGUUUACUGUGAGAAAAUUAGAGUGUUCAAAGCGGGCGUUUGUUUGAAUAGAUUAGCAUGGAAUAAUGAUUGAAGGCUUUCGUGUUCGAUUUGAUUGGUUUGUUCAUGGAAGCAAGGUUAAAAGGAACAGUUGGGGGUAUUCAUAUUCACUAGUUAGAGGUGAAAUUCUCGGAUUUAUGGAAGAUGAACAAGUGCGAAAGC
This 436-nucleotide ribosomal RNA is filed under the name Blastocystis sp. subtype 2. Its description in RNAcentral is "bacterial SSU rRNA". It matches the Rfam family "Eukaryotic small subunit ribosomal RNA", at positions 505 to 952 of the family's 1831-position model. The record is from RNAcentral. Lineage: Eukaryota; Bigyra; Opalinata; Blastocystidae.